Molecule: ribosomal RNA, 204 nt
Filed under: Phycisphaerae bacterium
Lineage: Bacteria; Pseudomonadati; Planctomycetota; Phycisphaerae
Description: partial 16S ribosomal RNA
Rfam family: Bacterial small subunit ribosomal RNA
Source: RNAcentral
UGAAGUUGGAAUCGCUAGUAAUCGCGGAUCAGCUACGCCGCGGUGAAUGUGUUCCUGAGCCUUGUACACACCGCCCGUCAAGUCAUGGGAGCCGGAAAUAGCCGAAGUGGCCACACUACUGUGGUCCCUACGCUAGGUUCGGUGACUGGGACUAAGUCGUAACAAGGUAGCCGUAGGGGAACCUGCGGCUGGAUCACCUCCUUU